Molecule: ribosomal RNA, 184 nt
Filed under: uncultured bacterium
Lineage: Bacteria
Description: partial 16S ribosomal RNA
Rfam family: Bacterial small subunit ribosomal RNA
Source: RNAcentral
CCUACGGGAGGCAGCAGUAAGGAAUAUUGCGCAAUGGGCGACAGCCUGACGCAGCGACGCCGCGUGGGGGAUGAAGGUUUUCGGAUUGUAAACCCCUUUCGGGAGGGAAGAUGGGGCAGGUAACUGCUCGGACGGUACCUCCAGAAGCAGCCACGGCCAACUUCGUGCCAGCAGCCGCGGUAAU